This is a small nuclear RNA of Nannospalax galili (Upper Galilee mountains blind mole rat), 157 nucleotides long. Its record names the gene U1. It matches the Rfam family "U1 spliceosomal RNA". From Rfam's summary of the family: U1 is a small nuclear RNA (snRNA) component of the spliceosome (involved in pre-mRNA splicing). Its 5' end forms complementary base pairs with the 5' splice junction, thus defining the 5' donor site of an intron. There are significant differences in sequence and secondary structure between metazoan and yeast U1 snRNAs, the latter being much longer (568 nucleotides as compared to 164 nucleotides in human). The record is from Ensembl. Lineage: Eukaryota; Metazoa; Chordata; Mammalia; Rodentia; Spalacidae.
CUUCUUACCUGCUGGGAAGAUAAAUGGAUAAGGAAGGUGGUUUUCCCAGGGUGAGGUUCCAUUGCAGUCAUGUGCUAACCCCUGUAGUUUUCCAAAACGUGGGAAACUCAACUGCAUGAUUUGUGGUAGUUGGAGACUGUGUUUCUGCUCUCCCCUA